This 701-nucleotide ribosomal RNA is filed under the name Fictibacillus sp. Its description in RNAcentral is "bacterial SSU rRNA". It matches the Rfam family "Bacterial small subunit ribosomal RNA", at positions 81 to 767 of the family's 1533-position model. Lineage: Bacteria; Bacillati; Bacillota; Bacilli; Caryophanales; Fictibacillaceae. The record is from RNAcentral.
GCUCCUCUGAUUUAGCGGCGGACGGGCUGAGUAACACGUGGGUAAUCUGCCUGUAAGACGGGGAUAACUCCGGGAAACCGGGGCUAAUACCGGAUAACAAGAGAAGAAGCAUUUCUUCUUUUUGAAAGUCGGUUUCGGCUGACACUUACAGAUGAGCCCGCGGCGCAUUAGCUAGUUGGUGAGGUAACGGCUCACCAAGGCGACGAUGCGUAGCCGACCUGAGAGGGUGAUCGGCCACACUGGGACUGAGACACGGCCCAGACUCCUACGGGAGGCAGCAGUAGGGAAUCUUCGGCAAUGGGCGAAAGCCUGACCGAGCAACGCCGCGUGAGCGAUGAAGGCCUUCGGGUCGUAAAGCUCUGUUGUUAGAGAAGAACAAGUACGAGAGUAACUGCUCGUACCUUGACGGUACCUAACCAGAAAGCCACGGCUAACUACGUGCCAGCAGCCGCGGUAAUACGUAGGUGGCAAGCGUUAUCCGGAAUUAUUGGGCGUAAAGCGCGCGCAGGCGGUCUCUUAAGUCUGAUGUGAAAGCCCACGGCUCAACCGUGGAGGGUCAUUGGAAACUGGGAGACUUGAGUGCAGGAGAGAAAAGUGGAAUUCCACGUGUAGCGGUGAAAUGCGUAGAGAUGUGGAGGAACACCAGUGGCGAAGGCGGCUUUUUGGCCUGUAACUGACGCUGAGGCGCGAAAGCGUGGGGG